This 506-nucleotide small RNA is filed under the name Pan troglodytes (chimpanzee). RNAcentral describes it as "processed transcript". The record is from RNAcentral. Lineage: Eukaryota; Metazoa; Chordata; Mammalia; Primates; Hominidae.
CAACUGUGUGGGGCUGCUGGGGGUUUGGAGAAUGGUCUUAACUACAUAGACCUGGAUUUGGUCAAGGACUUCAAACAGUGCCCUCAGGAGUGCACCCCUGAACCGCAGCCUCCCCCACCCCCACCCCCUCAUCAACCCCUGGGCAGCGGUGAGAGCAGCUCCACCCGCCGCUCAAGUGAGGAUUUAAGCGCCUAUGCCAGCAUCAGUUUCCAGAAGCAGCCAGAGGACCGUCAGUAGCUCAACUGGACAUCACAGCAGAAUUUCGCAGUACUUGUGGCCCACUCUCUGCAGAGAGUAAAUUGAGAGCCCAAGAAGCAGGGCAAAAAGAGCCUCUCAGACUCGGUCAUAGCAGCCCUGCCACCUUUACCCGGCAUCAAAUUUAUCUUUUAGUUUUGAAACUGCAGCUGACAAAGACACAGACCCCAGCCAUGCCUUUUGGGUUCAGUUUUUUUGUUUUUGUCAUUCUUUGUUAUGCCCUCCCCCUUUAAAAGAAAAAAGAAAAAGAA